RNAcentral lists this ribosomal RNA (491 nucleotides) under uncultured bacterium. RNAcentral's name for it is "partial 16S ribosomal RNA". It matches the Rfam family "Bacterial small subunit ribosomal RNA", at positions 29 to 506 of the family's 1533-position model. The record is from RNAcentral.
AGUGAACGCUGGCGGUAGGCCUAACACAUGCAAGUCGAACGGCAGCACAGUAAGAGCUUGCUCUUACGGGUGGCGAGUGGCGGACGGGUGAGGAAUACAUCGGAAUCUACUUUUUCGUGGGGGAUAACGUAGGGAAACUUACGCUAAUACCGCAUACGACCUACGGGUGAAAGCAGGGGAUCUUCGGACCUUGCGCGAUUGAAUGAGCCGAUGUCGGAUUAGCUAGUUGGCGGGGUAAAGGCCCACCAAGGCGACGAUCCGUAGCUGGUCUGAGAGGAUGAUCAGCCACACUGGAACUGAGACACGGUCCAGACUCCUACGGGAGGCAGCAGUGGUGAAUAUUGGACAAUGGGCGCAAGCCUGAUCCAGCCAUACCGCGUGGGUGAAGAAGGCCUUCGGGUUGUAAAGCCCUUUUGUUGGGAAAGAAAAGCAGCAGGUUAAGACCCCGCUGUUCGGACGGUACCCAAAGAAUAAGCACCGGCUAACUUCGU